RNAcentral lists this ribosomal RNA (427 nucleotides) under uncultured bacterium. RNAcentral describes it as "bacterial SSU rRNA". It matches the Rfam family "Bacterial small subunit ribosomal RNA", at positions 355 to 774 of the family's 1533-position model. The record is from RNAcentral.
UGGGGAAUAUUGGACAAUGGGCGAAAGCCUGAUCCAGCCAUGCCGCGUGUGUGAAGAAGGUCUUCGGAUUGUAAAGCACUUUACGUUGGGAGGAAGGGCAGUUACCUAAUACGUAAUUGUUUUGACGUUACCGACAGAAUAAGCACCGGCUAACUCUGUGCCAGCAGCCGCGGUAAUACAGUGGGUGCAAGCGUUAAUCGGAAUUACUUGGCGUAAAGCGCGCGUAGGUGGUUAGUUAAGUUGGAUGUGAAAUCCCCGGGCUCAACCUGGGAACUGCAUUCAAAACUGACCGUCUAGAGUAUGGUAGAAGGUGGUGGAAUUUCUGGUGUAGCGAUGAAAUGCGUAGAUAUAGGAAGGAAUACAAGUGGCGAAGGCGACCACCUGGACUGAUGCUGACACUGAGGUGCGAAAGCGUGGGGAGCAAGCA